This 415-nucleotide unclassified non-coding RNA is filed under the name fungal sp. Its description in RNAcentral is "partial internal transcribed spacer region". The record is from RNAcentral. Lineage: Eukaryota; Fungi.
AAGUCGUAACAUAGGUGAACCUGCGGAAAAGAUCAUUAACACGUAUCCAACGUUACAACAGAGACCUGCUCCCCUCAAUUUCGGUCUUUUGACAAUUCCUGGUAAAUCAUCGUCAAACAGUUUUUGAUUCAGGGACAUCCAAAGGGCCGGGUAGGGUAUUAAAGUAGUAGUCCCCCCAAGCGACCUGGUUUCUUUGAAGCAGAAAGUGUGAUGGAGUGAAGCCUGAGAACGGACCGAGUGGUAGUUCGAAGGUGACAGCUGUCGCGCACUGUGGAAAGGAAGACGCUUUACGAAUCACUGUCCAACACGGCCAGUGCGGGUUCCUGGUCCUAGACCCCAUAUCACCACCACAGUCGCAGACGUCCCUACCAAAUAAAUACUUGAACAACUGUUAACAAUGGAUAUCUUGGUUCUC